UGAACGCUGGCGGCAUGCUUUACACAUGCAAGUCGAACGGCAGCGCGGGCUUCGGCCUGGCGGCGAGUGGCGAACGGGUGAGUAAUGCAUCGGAACGUGCCCAGUAGUGGGGGAUAGCCCGGCGAAAGCCGGAUUAAUACCGCAUACGACCUGAGGGUGAAAGCGGGGGACCGAAAGGCCUCGCGCUAUUGGAGCGGCCGAUGUCGGAUUAGCUAGUUGGUGGGGUACAGGCUUACCAAGGCGACGAUCCGUAGCUGGUCUGAGAGGACGACCAGCCACACUGGGACUGGGACACGGCCCAGACUCCUACGGGAGGCAGCAGUGGGGAAUUUUGGACAAUGGGGGCAACCCUGAUCCAGCCAUGCCGCGUGCGGGAAGAAGGCCUUCGGGUUGUAAACCGCUUUUGUUCGGGAAGAAAUCCUCUGGGCUAAUACCCCGGGGGGAUGACGGUACCGGAAGAAUAAGCACCGGCUAACUACGUG
RNAcentral lists this ribosomal RNA (482 nucleotides) under uncultured bacterium. Its description in RNAcentral is "partial 16S ribosomal RNA". It matches the Rfam family "Bacterial small subunit ribosomal RNA", at positions 30 to 507 of the family's 1533-position model. The record is from RNAcentral.